This 253-nucleotide ribosomal RNA is filed under the name uncultured bacterium. RNAcentral describes it as "partial 16S ribosomal RNA". It matches the Rfam family "Bacterial small subunit ribosomal RNA", at positions 524 to 776 of the family's 1533-position model. The record is from RNAcentral.
GACGAACCGUACAAACGUUAUUCGGAAUUACUGGGCUUAAAGGGUUUGUAGGCGGCCUUGUAAGUCAGGUGUGAAAUCCCUCGGCUCAACCGAGGAAUGGCGCUUGAUACUGCACGGCUUGAGGGAGACAGGGGUAAGCGGAACUGAUGGUGGAGCGGUGAAAUGCGUUGAUAUCAUCAGGAACACCGGUGGCGAAAGCGGCUUACUGGGUCUCUUCUGACGCUGAGGAACGAAAGCUAGGGGAGCGAACGGG